RNAcentral lists this long non-coding RNA (217 nucleotides) under Hordeum vulgare. RNAcentral's name for it is "long non-coding RNA (HVUL_LNC004752)". The record is from RNAcentral. Lineage: Eukaryota; Viridiplantae; Streptophyta; Magnoliopsida; Poales; Poaceae.
GUCUACUUGUUUCGGACGUGAUGCCUAUAGAAACAAUCAUUGCAUAGAUAUCGUCACGACUUUGCGCGGUUCUAUCAAUUGCUCGACAGUAAUUUGUUCACCCACCGUCUACUUGCUUUCAUGAGAGAAGCCACUAGUAAACACUAGGGCCCCCGGGUCUAUUCACAUCCAUCGUUUACACCUCCGCUUUUACUUUGCUUUGUUACUUUCCUGCUUU